Molecule: ribosomal RNA, 492 nt
Filed under: Tricladium curvisporum
Lineage: Eukaryota; Fungi; Ascomycota; Leotiomycetes; Helotiales; Tricladiaceae
Description: eukaryotic LSU rRNA
Rfam family: Eukaryotic large subunit ribosomal RNA
Source: RNAcentral
GGGAUUACCUCAGUAACGGCGAGUGAAGCGGUAACAGCUCAAAUUUGAAAGCUGGCUCUUUAAGGGUCCGCGUUGUAAUUUGUAGAAGAUGCUUCGGGUGUGGCCCCGGUCUAAGUUCCUUGGAACAGGACGUCAUAGAGGGUGAGAAUCCCGUAUGUGACUGGGUGCCUUCGCUCAUGUGAAGCUCUUUCGACGAGUCGAGUUGUUUGGGAAUGCAGCUCAAAAUGGGUGGUAAAUUUCAUCUAAAGCUAAAUAUUGGCCAGAGACCGAUAGCGCACAAGUAGAGUGAUCGAAAGAUGAAAAGCACUUUGGAAAGAGAGUUAAACAGUACGUGAAAUUGUUGAAAGGGAAGCGCUUGCAACCAGACUUGCGCGCUGAUGAUCAUCCGGGCUUCUGCCCGGUGCACUCGUCUGCGCUCAGGCCAGCAUCGGUUUCGGUGGUGGGAUAAAGGCCUUGGGAAUGUAGCUCCUCUCGGGGAGUGUUAUAGCCCUC